CAUACCUAUCGUUUCUGUUCUCCGCUGUCUUCAACAUUCCUAGUGUAGCAUUUGUGUUUUGUGUGAGUGUUGUGUAUGUGUGUUUUGUGUUGUGUUUUGUGUGAGUUUUGUGUGUGUGUUUUGUAAUGUUGCUGUGUGUGAGUGUUUUGUGUUUGUGAUUUGUGUGGUUGUUGUGUGUAUCUGUUUUGUAAGAGAGUGUGUGUAUUGUGGUUUGUUUUGUGUAAGUGUUGAGUGUGUGUGUUUUGUGGUAUGUUUUGCGUGUGUGUUUCAGUGUGCUG
Long non-coding RNA from Gadus macrocephalus (Pacific cod), 278 nucleotides. RefSeq lists it as uncharacterized. The transcript has 2 exons. The record is from RefSeq and is a predicted model, not a curated record. NCBI's taxonomy places the organism in Eukaryota, Metazoa, Chordata, Actinopteri, Gadiformes, Gadidae.